This 654-nucleotide ribosomal RNA is filed under the name uncultured Staphylococcus sp. Its description in RNAcentral is "bacterial SSU rRNA". It matches the Rfam family "Bacterial small subunit ribosomal RNA", at positions 92 to 733 of the family's 1533-position model. Lineage: Bacteria; Bacillati; Bacillota; Bacilli; Caryophanales; Staphylococcaceae. The record is from RNAcentral.
UUAGCGGCGGACGGGUGAGUAACACGUGGAUAACCUACCUAUAAGACUGGGAUAACUUCGGGAAACCGGAGCUAAUACCGGAUAAUAUAUUGAACCGCAUGGUUCAAUAGUGAAAGACGGUUUUGCUGUCACUUAUAGAUGGAUCCGCGCCGCAUUAGCUAGUUGGUAAGGUAACAGCUUACCAAGGCAACGAUGCGUAGCCGACCUGAGAGGGUGAUCGGCCACACUGGAACUGAGACACGGUCCAGACUCCUACGGGAGGCAGCAGUAGGGAAUCUUCCGCAAUGGGCGAAAGCCUGACGGAGCAACGCCGCGUGAGUGAUGAAGGUCUUCGGAUCGUAAAACUCUGUUAUUAGGGAAGAACAAAUGUGUAAGUAACUAUGCACGUCUUGACGGUACCUAAUCAGAAAGCCACGGCUAACUACGUGCCAGCAGCCGCGGUAAUACGUAGGUGGCAAGCGUUAUCCGGAAUUAUUGGGCGUAAAGCGCGCGUAUGCGGUUUUUUAAGUCUGAUGUGAAAGCCCACGGCUCAACCGUGGAGGGUCAUUGGAAACUGGAAAACUUGAGUGCAGAAGAGGAAAGUGGAAUUCCAUGUGUAGCGGUGAAAUGCGCAGAGAUAUGGAGGAACACCAGUGGCGAAGGCGACUUUCUGGU